Molecule: ribosomal RNA, 2197 nt
Filed under: Pseudomonas aeruginosa
Lineage: Bacteria; Pseudomonadati; Pseudomonadota; Gammaproteobacteria; Pseudomonadales; Pseudomonadaceae
Description: partial 23S ribosomal RNA
Rfam family: Bacterial large subunit ribosomal RNA
Source: RNAcentral
GGUCAAGUGAAGAAGCGCAUACGGUGGAUGCCUUGGCAGUCAGAGGCGAUGAAAGACGUGGUAGCCUGCGAAAAGCUUCGGGGAGUCGGCAAACAGACUUUGAUCCGGAGAUCUCUGAAUGGGGGAACCCACCUAGGAUAACCUAGGUAUCUUGUACUGAAUCCAUAGGUGCAAGAGGCGAACCAGGGGAACUGAAACAUCUAAGUACCCUGAGGAAAAGAAAUCAACCGAGAUUCCCUUAGUAGUGGCGAGCGAACGGGGAUUAGCCCUUAAGCUUCAUUGAUUUUAGCGGAACGCUCUGGAAAGUGCGGCCAUAGUGGGUGAUAGCCCCGUACGCGAAAGGAUCUUUGAAGUGAAAUCGAGUAGGACGGAGCACGAGAAACUUUGUCUGAACAUGGGGGGACCAUCCUCCAAGGCUAAAUACUACUGACUGACCGAUAGUGAACCAGUACCGUGAGGGAAAGGCGAAAAGAACCCCGGAGAGGGGAGUGAAAUAGAACCUGAAACCGUAUGCGUACAAGCAGUGGGAGCCUACUUGUUAGGUGACUGCGUACCUUUUGUAUAAUGGGUCAGCGACUUAUAUUCAGUGGCAAGCUUAACCGUAUAGGGUAGGCGUAGCGAAAGCGAGUCUUAAUAGGGCGUUUAGUCGCUGGGUAUAGACCCGAAACCGGGCGAUCUAUCCAUGAGCAGGUUGAAGGUUAGGUAACACUGACUGGAGGACCGAACCCACUCCCGUUGAAAAGGUAGGGGAUGACUUGUGGAUCGGAGUGAAAGGCUAAUCAAGCUCGGAGAUAGCUGGUUCUCCUCGAAAGCUAUUUAGGUAGCGCCUCAUGUAUCACUCUGGGGGGUAGAGCACUGUUUCGGCUAGGGGGUCAUCCCGACUUACCAAACCGAUGCAAACUCCGAAUACCCAGAAGUGCCGAGCAUGGGAGACACACGGCGGGUGCUAACGUCCGUCGUGAAAAGGGAAACAACCCAGACCGCCAGCUAAGGUCCCAAAGUUGUGGUUAAGUGGUAAACGAUGUGGGAAGGCUUAGACAGCUAGGAGGUUGGCUUAGAAGCAGCCAUCCUUUAAAGAAAGCGUAAUAGCUCACUAGUCGAGUCGGCCUGCGCGGAAGAUGUAACGGGGCUCAAACCACACACCGAAGCUGCGGGUGUCACGUAAGUGACGCGGUAGAGGAGCGUUCUGUAAGCCUGUGAAGGUGAGUUGAGAAGCUUGCUGGAGGUAUCAGAAGUGCGAAUGCUGACAUGAGUAACGACAAUGGGUGUGAAAAACACCCACGCCGAAAGACCAAGGGUUCCUGCGCAACGUUAAUCGACGCAGGGUUAGUCGGUUCCUAAGGCGAGGCUGAAAAGCGUAGUCGAUGGGAAACAGGUUAAUAUUCCUGUACUUCUGGUUACUGCGAUGGAGGGACGGAGAAGGCUAGGCCAGCUUGGCGUUGGUUGUCCAAGUUUAAGGUGGUAGGCUGAAAUCUUAGGUAAAUCCGGGGUUUCAAGGCCGAGAGCUGAUGACGAGUCGUCUUUUAGAUGACGAAGUGGUUGAUGCCAUGCUUCCAAGAAAAGCUUCUAAGCUUCAGGUAACCAGGAACCGUACCCCAAACCGACACAGGUGGUCGGGUAGAGAAUACCAAGGCGCUUGAGAGAACUCGGGUGAAGGAACUAGGCAAAAUGGCACCGUAACUUCGGGAGAAGGUGCGCCGGCUAGGGUGAAGGAUUUACUCCGUAAGCUCUGGCUGGUCGAAGAUACCAGGCCGCUGCGACUGUUUAUUAAAAACACAGCACUCUGCAAACACGAAAGUGGACGUAUAGGGUGUGACGCCUGCCCGGUGCCGGAAGGUUAAUUGAUGGGGUUAGCGCAAGCGAAGCUCUUGAUCGAAGCCCCGGUAAACGGCGGCCGUAACUAUAACGGUCCUAAGGUAGCGAAAUUCCUUGUCGGGUAAGUUCCGACCUGCACGAAUGGCGUAACGAUGGCGGCGCUGUCUCCACCCGAGACUCAGUGAAAUUGAAAUCGCUGUGAAGAUGCAGUGUAUCCGCGGCUAGACGGAAAGACCCCGUGAACCUUUACUGUAGCUUUGCACUGGACUUUGAGCCUGCUUGUGUAGGAUAGGUGGGAGGCUUUGAAGCGUGGACGCCAGUUCGCGUGGAGCCAUCCUUGAAAUACCACCCUGGCAUGCUUGAGGUUCUAACUCUGGUCCGU